GCAAGUCGAACGCGAAAGCUCUUCGGAGUGAGUAGAGUGGCGCACGGGUGAGUAACACGUAGGUAAUCUACCCUUUGGCUGGGGACAACAUUCCGAAAGGGGUGCUAAUACCGCAUAAAACCACGCUGCCCCCGGGUGAAGUGGGAAAAGGUGGCCUCUUCUUGACAGCUAUGACCAAAGGAUGAGCCUGCGUCCCAUCAGCUAGUUGGUAAGGUAAUGGCUUACCAAGGCGAAGACGGGUAGCUGGUUUGAGAGGAUGAUC
This 262-nucleotide ribosomal RNA is filed under the name uncultured bacterium. RNAcentral's name for it is "partial 16S ribosomal RNA". It matches the Rfam family "Bacterial small subunit ribosomal RNA", at positions 57 to 305 of the family's 1533-position model. The record is from RNAcentral.